UGUUUGUGCCUUCCCCCCCCCCCCCCGCCAGCGCUGCCCCUGCGCGGGGCGCCGGGACGGAGCCCGCAGGCCGGGUGAGUCGGGGUCCCCCGGCCCGCCUGGCUGCGGCAGGAUCUGGCUCACGGUCCCCGGUAACUCAAGCGGCCACCGGCCGGCUCCGCCGCGCGGCUGGGGCCCCCGUCCCGCCGCGGGGCCCGCACCGGGCUGGUGCGGCUCAGCCGCCCGCCUCCCUGCGGGCCGGGGCGGGCCUCGCUCUGCGGCGGGGGUGGCUGGGCCCAGCACAGCAGCACGCAGCCCUGCUCCGCUCGGCCCCUCGGGGAGCAGGGAUAGCGAUCGCGACAGAAUUACCGCGCCUCGAGCAGUCGUUACUUUUGGAAUCUGGCCUCAAUAUCGGGGCUAAUGCCCCAGCUGCUGCAAAUUCCUUGGGGAAUGACUGUGCUCCGUAAGGCUCAGGAGAUCCGGGGCUUGCCUGCUCCCAAGGCUUACCUACCAACACCGGGACACUUCAGGACCGGUAGUUUACUCACAGAUGUCAAUGCAGAGCUAAAAAGAUUUUGCUGUGGAAUCGGCAACCAAAUUGUGGCACAUCCCAAUAUACCUUACACAAUCAGCCUGCCCUCCGAUACUCUGCCGCUGUUCCCUGGGCUAGCCCUGACUCCAGGGAAAACAAAGAAUGUCUCGGACAGAGAUUAAAAAAGUGCUGAGAGAAUAUGAAAUAAAUCUGUGUGCUCAUACUUUCUGUUCACAUCCUCAUAAAUCCAGAUGCUUGCACGUUUGAUUGUCUCACCAAUGCGGUGAUGUUGCAAGCUCAUGAAGGCAGAUCAAGAGAAGUGGGAAUAAGAAACAAGCAGACCCUCUCAGGCAUUUUGUAUUAACUCCUCACUGUGAGGAAACCAAUACAAAACAGAGCAGCGUUCAGCAGGUUGGACCCGUGAAAGCUAGAAUUCUCAAGUCAGCAUACAUCAGAAUACACAGGGGGAAACUUUAGUCUGAUCUUGUUCUUGCCAGUUGAAAGUCUGUGCUUUUGUAAUCGGAAACAAAGAUGAUCUAACUUCCCUAUGUUUGUUCUGAUUCCUCUGGAAAGAAAAUAAGAAUCUCCUUAUACUAGCAAUCUUCCUCCAUGUGAUUCUUUGCUUGGAAAAGUAGACAUUUUGCUGCUGCAAACUGAAAUUAGAACCUUGAGUUGUAUGCAGCUGUAGUCAAAUCUCAUUAGCCAAAGCAAAACACUAGUCCUGAAUAAGCAUUUAGCUGUCUGGGUACAGAGAUGGAUCAGCAGGUUGGCUCAUCUCGUUGUGCUAGACCUUGUCAUUUCUGGAAUUAGCAGCAGCCCUCUGCAUAAAUCACUUUGGCUGUCCCAUGCCAUGGAAGAAGGGAUCUGGUAUUUUGGAGUACAUUGUGUUGUGAAUGCUACUCUGCACCACCGGUGCAAUGACAGCCCACCACAAGGCAGAUGCUGGAGGGAUUCUGAAUGUGCAGUUCUAGCUGGGCACCUCUUGGAGAUGAGCGAGGAAGCAAACCCGAGUACUGGCCAUCAAAGCCUAGAAAUUCUUAGGGUUCACAGAACCCACCUCAGAGAGACCAUUUUCAUGGAGGCAGAUAUAAAGAAGCUUCGCUGGUAAUUCAACUGUGUAAUGCAGUGAGUAAAUAAAGAGCAAUGCCAUACGGAA
Long non-coding RNA from Falco peregrinus (peregrine falcon), 1667 nucleotides. RefSeq lists it as uncharacterized. The record is from RefSeq and is a predicted model, not a curated record. Lineage: Eukaryota; Metazoa; Chordata; Aves; Falconiformes; Falconidae. The transcript is spliced from 2 exons.